Paramuricea clavata is the source of this 918-nucleotide non-coding RNA. The record is from the annotation of a GenBank genome assembly. Lineage: Eukaryota; Metazoa; Cnidaria; Anthozoa; Malacalcyonacea; Plexauridae.
AGAGAGAGAUUACCAUUCACCAACAGCCAUGCAUGCAGUAACGGUGAGGUCAAAGGGAUGAACAACUGCUAUUUUGUUAAAUGUUUGCCAACACUCACAAUUCAAAUUUAUUCACUACGAAAAAAAACGUUUGAGCACUAUUCACUGACAUUACAUGAACAUGCACCUCCUGUAUAUUUAAGUAUCUUGGUGGGUGGACGUGGUUAGUUGAAUGCGUUUUUAACAAAACGUAGUUCUCAUGUGUUCAUUCUACUGAAGAGAAAAAGAACAUCGAAGAAUGAAUUUGACCGCAGUUUCACAGUUCGUGAAACGUUGCUCUGUCCUGGAAGGUAUAUCUGUCUCCAUUAUCCAAUUUCCCUCCAAUGCCUAUGUGAUCAACCAGAUUAUUGUAUGUUUUCUGAAUUGCCUGUUGUCAGUUGCAACUGUGUUGCUGAACGGUACCGCAAUACUUACAAUCUAUAAAUGCUUUCAUCUGAAAGUGAAAAUUUGCUUCUUUCUUAUUUAUCUUCAAUCGCUGGUUGACUUGAUAGCUGGAGCAGUUAGCAUACCGUUGUUUACCUUUGUCCUAGCAAGUGAAUUUGUGGGUACUGCCAACUGCGUUGCAAAUUUUAUUAUUUCAACUGUGGCAUUUAUACCAAUGGGAUUAUCAAUGGCAAUGUUGUGCGCACUUAGUUUUGAAAGAUAUAUGGGUGUUUUGCAUCCAUUUGUUCAUCGCACUCGAAUAACUAAGACAUCUCUGAAAACGUAUCUUUGUCUUAGUGUUGUUGCGAUCAUCGUCAUGAUGGCUAUAUCACUUGUGUACCCAAAACUGUAUUUUGUCUUUGGCACAGUAAAUAUAUGUAUUUCGCUAACCUUAAUAGGAUUUUUUUACACAAGAAUCUUCCAAACAGCCAGAAGAAGAUUUCGAUUAGAAAACCG